RNAcentral lists this ribosomal RNA (380 nucleotides) under uncultured Pseudomonas sp. RNAcentral describes it as "bacterial SSU rRNA". It matches the Rfam family "Bacterial small subunit ribosomal RNA", at positions 1005 to 1382 of the family's 1533-position model. The record is from RNAcentral. Lineage: Bacteria; Pseudomonadati; Pseudomonadota; Gammaproteobacteria; Pseudomonadales; Pseudomonadaceae.
CUAGGGGUGCUUCCAUCUGGAAGAAUCUGGAGACAGGUGCUGCAUGGCUGUCGUCAGCUCGUGCGUGAGAUGUUGGGUUAAGUCCCGUAACGAGCGCAACCCUUGUCCUUAGUUACCAGCACGUUAUGGUGGGCACUCUAAGGAGACUGCCGGUGACAAACCGGAGGAAGGUGGGGAUGACGUCAAGUCAUCAUGGCCCUUACGGCCUGGGCUACACACGUGCUACAAUGGUCGGUACAAAGGGUUGCCAAGCCGCGAGGUGGAGCUAAUCCCAUAAAACCGAUCGUAGUCCGGAUCGCAGUCUGCAACUCGACUGCGUGAAGUCGGAAUCGCUAGUAAUCGUGAAUCAGAAUGUCACGGUGAAUACGUUCCCGGGCCUU